Molecule: long non-coding RNA, 614 nt
Organism: Condylostylus longicornis
Lineage: Eukaryota; Metazoa; Arthropoda; Insecta; Diptera; Dolichopodidae
Exons: 3
Source: RefSeq, a predicted model, not a curated record
AACUACAAUUAAUUAAAUUAUGAAUUAAUUAGUAACUUUAUAUAUACAAUAAUUAUUUGAUAUUAUAUAACGAUUAAUUUAAUGAAUUUUUUAAUGAACUGUUAAUUAUUUAUUAAAAAUAUUUUUUAAAAACUUCAAGAAAAACACCUUCAAAUACAAUUUCAAUUUUUAAUUAACGCUUUAUAAUUUAUUAUUAAAUUUUAAUUUAAUAUUAAUUUUUAUGAUGAAGUGCCUGUAAUAAUUUUUGAAUCAUAAUUUUAAUUAAGAGCUCUUUGAAUCCUGAGUUAUUUUUAAGCUGUUAUAAUUCAUGUUAUAAGAGAUAUAAUAAGAAAUGACAAAUGGUGAAAUUGGGUUGCAGUUGUUACAGAAUUUGAUAUUAAAGUAUGAACAGCUUUGUGACAAACAAAUAAAUUUUCAAGCACAAAUAUAAAUCAACUUGGGCUACAAAUAGAGAAUGCUAGAGUGUUUAAUAAUGAAUUAUUUCAAUUCUAUUAUAUUAGUUAAAUUUAUUAAAAAACUUAUUCAUUAUUGUCAUGUAUAAAUAAUUAAUUUCCGUGUUUAAUUAAAUUAUUGCAAAAUAGAAUCGCGUAUAUUAUUAAAGAACACUAAUUUUA